This 28106-nucleotide long non-coding RNA is filed under the name Vigna radiata. RNAcentral's name for it is "long non-coding RNA (VRAD_LNC007721)". Lineage: Eukaryota; Viridiplantae; Streptophyta; Magnoliopsida; Fabales; Fabaceae. The record is from RNAcentral.
UCCAUGUAAACUUCAACGCUUUAUCCUUUGUAUUCUGAUUCUCCAUUACUUCUAAGCUUCAACCGUAGCACUAACAAUAACAAACAAUAUUGGUUUUCACUUAGCAAGAUCAAUUGGGUAUCCAUGAAAAAACAAAAAGAAAAGAAUUAUAAUAUUUUAACAAUUCUUUUUAACAACUUUUUAAAAAUCGAAACCAUCUUAUUUGUCUGUUUUAAUUUAUUUUAAAAAAAAAUUUAAAACACAUCAAUCACAAACUCUCACUUAUGAAAAAGUUGUUAAAAAAACUUUUUAAAAAACAAACAUCUUUGAUGGUUGAGUUCAUAGGAAACUUCAAUAAAAUCACAUUUAUAAAAUUCUUAUAUUACUGAAUAAUUUUUAGAGUGGUAAUACAUUAACAAGCAUAAGUAAAUUACACAGUUUUUUUUCAUUUUUUUCUACCAAAACUAUUCUUUUACUUUUAAAAAAUAUUUAAAAAGGUGAAUCUUAUUGUGUCAAAGUAUGUAAUUUUUAUUGAUUCUUACGAACUUUGGGUGUUGGGAGAUCCAGUUUAUUUUAAAUUUGUUUAUUCUUUUGUUAACCUAUAAUACAAAGAAUUUUUUUUUUUUAAUUUAUGAAUUGAAAGUGCCUUUAUCUUAAUGACUUUGCUUCUCACACUACCAUUUACUAAUAAAAUAUCAUUUUCAACAUAUUUUGUAAUUUGUAAUGAACCCAUAUUCAAUCAACAUAAUAAAAUAAUUGUUUAUAUAUGGACAAUUACUAGAAGUUUUGACAACAUAUCACUCAUGUUAACUGAGAUUAGUGGGACAGUAACAGUUCAAUUUCAUGAACAAAAGAAAUAUCCGAUACAUCAUAAAAUAAACACAAAAAUCAACCCUUAAAUAUCAAUUUCAUACUCUCAUUCUUCUUAAUGAAGAUUAAACAAACAAAUAAAUAUAAUUAUACUAGAGAUAAAGUUAUCAUAUAUAUGCAAUUCAUGGUUUUCCAUAUCCUAGUUCAGCAUUCAAAUCACAGUUUUCAAUGCUCUUUUUUGCUUUCACCAAGGCUCUUCUGUUUAUUUCUAGAUUUACCUCUGGUUUAAUCUUCUUUGUUCUCAAAGUCAUUGCUUACUUCUCUAAAAUAGAGAUAUUUUCCUCCAAAGUAGUCACUUUCUCUUCCAACCUUUUUUAUCGCAAGAACUUUAUCAAGAGAAGUUGUCAUGGCUAAUGCAGAUUGUACAUAAGGUUUCAACCAUGAUAAAUCAAAUUCAAAAGUCUCAAGUUCCUCCCAUAAAGUUUGGAGAUGAUUGCAAGCGUUAUAGUUCAUGUCUCUCACCUUUUUAGUGUUUAGAAAAUAAAGAACUCUGCCAAGUGCGGUAAAAGUCGAUUCAAUGAAUAUUUGACUUUUCCUUUUCUUGUUAUGAAUAAGUGAGGGUAUCGUGAACAAACUUCUUCUAAUAGGGGAAUAAAAUUUUUCUCUACUUUUCCUAUGUCCCUAAAAUCCACUCUCACUGAUUCAUCAACUUGUUUCUCAUCCUCUAACUUAUGAUCCAAUAUACGAACUUCAAUAAUACAAGUAUCAUUUACAAUGAAUCCGUGACUAGAGUCCCAAAGUCCACCCAUAGAUAUGAAUGAGAAACCCCAAACACCUUGCUUUGAAUUGAAGGUGUGGCUACUUUCUGACAAAUUCAUACAUCAAGAAUGAGUUGUGUAUCGAGUUUAAAACAAAAUCAUACAAUUCUUGAAUAUAUAUAUAUAUAUAUAUAUAUAUAUAUAUAUAUAUAUAUAUAUAUAUAUAUAUAUAUAUAUAUAUUAUUUCUAUUGAGGAUAAGAAUAGUAGAUGAAUGAGGUGGAAGCAUUUUGUAAUUACUAACCAACUUAGGAGAAAGUGUAAUUACUACCAAUUGGAUCAUAAUUGUAAUCCAAUGGAGAUACUUUUGGUAAGAACAUAGAAAAAGUGAGUAUAAAAACAAAUAUUCUAAUUUAUAACUUUUGAGAUUCUGCUAUGGACAAAAAAAUAAAUACAGGUGAAACUUCUUAAAGCGAUAUCCUGUACUUCAAAACAGUAGUGGUACACCAAGUUUGGAUUAAGCAGUAGAUACAGAUAAGUGUUAAAGUGAAUCAGGGAUGUAUGACAAACACAAGUGGAAGAGAUAAUGUUAUGAUCAUAAGGAUGGUUUGGUUGUUUUAUAAUCUGUUUCUUGAGGUUUAUGGUCUUCAAGAAAUGUGUUGUGCUUAAAGAAUGUGAGUUAGUGGUUGUGCUUUAAGUGUAGUUUAGGUUGUGUUUUAUGAGAAUCAAAUAAGUUUAAUAAGGACAAGUGAAAGAAAGAAGGCAUGAUCAUGAAGGUAGAAGAGAUUUUAUGGAUGUUAUGAAGACGAAUCAAUAUAGUUAGUUCCUUUUUUAGUGAGUUUCAGUUGAGUGUGUAGAGAAAAAGAAAGUAUAGAAAGAUGAAUUGUUUCAGUAGCAAUGAUUUAAACUCUGUAAUCAUCGAAAUAGCUACAAGUUUUACAGAUCUUGGAAAGAAAGCAGAGGGAAGGUUAAAUAGUUCUAAUGUAAGUCUUAAUUCAAGUAAGANUGGGUUUUUGGAAUUUAUGUUUUUCAAGGAAUGGAGAUAAUAAUAAAGAAAUGGAAUGAAAAGAUUAAUCGUAUGAAAUAACGAUUUAGGGGAGGACCCGUCACAGAUUUCAGAAUUUCAAAGUUUAAUACAUUUAUACUAAGUACAUAACCAAGAUCAAACAUAUCAUAUAGUAGCAUACAAUAUUUUCACAUACCAUUAAAAUUAUCAAAUAUACACACAUUAAAUCAUGCAUCCAUAAAUACAAAGUAAUCAUAAUUAAAUCUUAUAAGCUUUCCUUACCUUUAAUUCCAGCUAAAUUUCUAUGUUCCUUGACAACAACUACUUCUAUGGUUUUUGAAGUUCAAGGUCUGAUUACACGAAAUUUGGAUUCAGAGAAAUGGCUUAACAAUCACAUACAAGCUUAAAGUGUGCGUACAUGCAAGAGUACAAAGAAGCUUCAAAGACCAGAAACACUUACCAGUUUAGAAUGGAAAUCUGAUCAGUGCAAAUGGAAGCUCUUGUCUCCAGGAAGAAUUAAUCUGAAGACAGGUUGAUGAUCGGAGGAAGAGGAUGAUCAGAAAUCUAGAGAAAAGUUCUAAGGUUUUAGAGAGAAGAGGAGAAAAUGGUGUUUUCUAGAAACUGAGGAAAAAGAAGGGUUGCAUGUAGAAAGUGACACCAGAUUUAAAAUUUCACCUUAAAUAUUGCCUCCACUAAAAAGUUUGGUCCACUCCUGCUUGUCACUUGACUUCCACUUUCUGGAAACUCACAUUCUCUGCUACUUGCGGAUCAUGAUGGACGGGAAAUUAAAUGUACUGCCGUCCCUGUCCCCCACUAUCCUAAGGAAUUUAAUGGAACAUGACACUUGUUAUCCACUAUCCUAAGGAAAAUAAAAAGACUGUUACACAUAGUUUAAAAAUUAAGAUAAUAACAAUUUGAAUAUAUGUUUUUUCUUUAAUUAUUUCAAGAAGUGUGUUUUAAAAAGAAACAGAAAUAACAAUAUCUUGUGAUAGAUUAUGAACAGUUUUAUAAAAUUGAAAACAUAAUAUAUAAUAUUUAAUAACACAAAUAAUUAUUGAUUUUAAAUGUCACAUUUGGGAAAUUCGCAUCUAAAAAACUCUAUAUAAACAGAAUAAUCUAUACUAAACUUUUGCUUUAUAAUAGGAAUAAAUAAAAAAUAUUUUGUAACAGAAAUAUUACUUUCAAACUAUUCAUAAAAGGUUAAAAUAAUUGUCUACAAAUCCCACGUAAAAUUUAAUAGCAUAUUAAUUUUAAAUAUCUAAUAACUAAUGGAUCUUUUAAAAAACAAUCACAAAAAAAAAAAAAUAUAAUAUCAAUCCAACUCUCACAUAAGGAAUUAGCAUUAUCUUCAAUCAAAAAUCGAAGAAAAUGUGAGUUUAUGAAUAUUCAUGGUUAUAUGUUACUAAACUUUUCUAUUUUUACUCAAGAUGAAUUUUAAACUCACACUUGAAUAUCACAACAAUAACAAAUGAAGAAAACUUAAAAUCAAUGUCUUUGAAACUAUAACAAAAUUUAUACAUUAAAAUUAUACAAAAAUAUUGAUAGAACAAACUGAGUUUAGAAGGAAGAUUGAAUAGAAACUUAAAAUCUUAAUUAGACACCACAAUAAAAUAGAUGUUAACUAAAAUAUAGAAUACACAUAAUAUUUUGUAUUAGUUCACUUUAAUUCACGAACUACAUAAUAUUUUCAAUUAUUAUGCAUACUAGAAUUGUCAAUAUCCCCAAUCAUAUUCAAAUAUUUACCUCUGAACACUUUGUAAACAAUGAACUUUUUAACAAAUUAAUUGUCCUCCAUAUCCUAACCCAUCAUAUUAAUUACAUUCCACAAAGCCUUCAGUUAUUUUAGUCAAUUCUUUUCUUAUUAUUUCAAGAUUUUUUUUUUCUAUCAUUUUUUUUCCUUGAGAAUCUUUAUUUCCUUUUCUAAAGCAGACACCUUAUUUCCCUUCUUCUUUUUCACUUGAACAUGGUGUUGCAACUAAGUCAAAUCAAAUUUGAAUGUUUCAAGUUCUUCAUAAAAUUUGGAGAUUAUUACAUACAUCUCCAUCCAUAUCUUUCAUCUUUUUAGCCUUAAAGAAAAUGUAGAACUCUACCCAAAGCUGUGAACGUACAUUCAACAUACCUAAGGGUUCUCUUCUUUUAACCAUUAAUAAGCAAACAUACAUACUUUUUAAAACCGUGGAAAUUUUUUUCUUUCCAUAUCCUUAAAACCCCCACUAGCUCAACAAAUGUAGUGAACGUUAGGUAAAGGUUUAUCAGUAUGUUUCGUAGGUUUAACCUUAAUCUUGUGUGCUUGAUCUACUUGAUUAUAUUUCAAUUUAUAAUUCUAUAUAAAUCUAUUGUUAGGCUUAUAAAGUUCAUAUAAAGAUAUGAAUUGUACAAAAUUCUAAACAAUUAUUUUAAAAUAAUAAUAAAUAUUUAUAUUCAUUUGAUAUAUAUAUAUUAUUGUCGUAAAAAGGAAAUUUAUAUAUUUAAAAAAUAUAAAAAAUAAAGAAAAAUAAUGUAAAAUAAAUGUAAAAAAAAUUAUGUAUUAAAAUGUUAUUUUUCAUCUCUUUAACAUGAUAAGUGUUUAUUUCCUUAAAAAAAAGAAACAUACCAAAACUCACUCAAUCACUACAUGGAGAAGAUUUUAUAUGCAUUUGGACCUGAAAUGCUAUCAAUAUCGCUAAAGAUCUUUUAUCUAUAAUUACUUUGGUCUACCUCUACAAUUAAUGUAUAGUAAAAGUUUAAGUUAAUAUACUAUGCAUCAUUAAAUAAAUACAUAAAUGAACCCUUAAAUAUCAAUUUCAUACUCUUGUUCUACUAAGGAAGAUUAAUACAUAGUAGCAUUUAUUCAACACAAUAAAUAUAAUAUACUCAAUAACAAAAUUAUCAUAGCCAAUCAGGUCAAACAUGUUCAACAUAAAAAAUCACAUCGAUAAUUAGAAGAACAUCUAAAUGUUGAGCAUCCAAAUCACAUUCUUCAAAACCUUCUUUUGAUUGAACCAAGUCUCUUCUUGUUAUUUCUAGAUUUACCUUUGCUUCAAUCAUCUUUGUCGUCAAAUUCUUUAUUUCUUUCUCUAAAACAGUCACAUCAUUCUCCAAAGUAAUAACAUUCUCCUCCAAUCUUUUCAUAGUAAGAACUUUCUCAACACAAGUUUUCAUAUCCAAUGCAGAUUGUACAUGAGGUUUCAGCCAUGACAAAUCAAAUCCAUAUAUCUCUAAUUCCUCCCAUAAAGUUUGGAGAUGAUUGCAAGCAACAUCGUCCAUGUCUUUCACUUUUUUAAUGUUGAGAAAAUAAAGAACUCUACCAAGCGCUGUAAAUGCCCAUUCAGUAAAUUUUUUACUAUUCAAUCAAAGAAGGAUAUUGUGAACAAACUUCUUCCAAUAGAGGAAUAAAGUCUUUCUCUACUUUUCCUAUGCCUCUAAAAUCCACCAUCUCACCAGAGCUAGAGAUCAUUUUCUUCGUUGAAAUAUUCUCAGUGUUUUGGACAACCUUAUUUUUAUGAACCGAUAUAUGAAGUUCAACUAUACAAAUAUCAUUCACGAUGAACCCAUCAGCAGAGGUGUAAAUUGUACACGAAAGGUCAUUCCUUGGGUUGAAGGUGUGACUAAUUCCUGACAAAUUCAUACACCAAGAGUGAGUUGUGUAUCGAGUUUAAAACAAAAUAAUAUGAUUAUCAUAGGUCUAAUCGUAAAAUUUACCUUUUAUUAUAUUCCUAGUGGGGUUUAGCUGAUUAAUCAGAAUGAAUUUUAAAUUUGCAAAUUUUUCACAUCGACGAGGCCAACCACUAACAGAAUCCAAAAUAAUUGACAAAUACAACUUCUCUGUUGCAGCUCGAAUGAUACGAAUCCCCCUAAAGACAAAGAAACCAAAUAUAAUGAGAAAAACAGAUAAAAUGAUAAGAAAGAGCAACAUGUAGAUUAUGUAUAAUAAUUCAUACAAGAACCAUGUAUGGCCAUCGACAGUAAACGUUUUCAAAUAUUCUGUGGCAAACGUUUGGCAAGAAGUUUGUAAGGGUCCAUGUAAACAUCUGAAACACUUUAUCCUUUGUAUUCUGAUUCUCCAUUGCAGAAACUUGAAACUUGUAAGCUUCAACCGUAGCACUGAAAAAAGCAAACAAUAUUGGUUUUCACUUAAGAAGAUCAAACGAUUGGGUAUCUAUGGGGGAAACAAAAAAACUACGAUGGUUGAGUUCACAAAGAACUUCAAUAAAAUCUCCCUUAUAAAAUUUUUAUAAACUUUUCAACAAGAGUUUUGAAAGUUGUUUUAUCAUUAUUAUAUAAUGUAUAUUUAUACGUAUGAAAAUUUAAGUAAUAAUUUUACUUCUACGCAAUUCUUACGAAUUUGGGCCUUGGCAGGCGAAGUUUAUUAGAUUGCGUAUUGAGAAAAGUUUUGGAAAUUGUUUUUACACUAUUAAAUUCUGUUUUCCUGGAAAUUGAACCAGGAUAAUUGUAAAGUCACAAAUUUUAUUGGAUGAAAUACUAAAAUAACUUUUUUUGACAUAUUCUUAUUUUUUAAAAUAAGUUUAGUCGUGUAUUAAGAUAUAUAUAGAAUUUUUUAACAAAAAUAACAUAAUAUUAUAAUUAAUGUAAACAAUUAGAAUCAAUUAUCAUUAUACUGUAACCUUAUAUAUUAACUAUAAAAUUUCAUAAUCUGAUAUUUUUUAAUCAAAGAAAAGAAAUAAGACGAAUUUUGAUACAUUUUUAUUGUUAAAUUUAAAAAUUAAAAGAAUAUAAUAUUUUUAACUCAUUUAGAUUACGGUAUUUGAUAUGAAAAAUACCUUUUAUGUUAAUAUGUAAUUUGUAUGAUUUGAAUUUUUGUUAAUUAAACUGAAUUAAAUAUACUUUUAAUCUUUUUAUAAUUAGAAUCCUUUUAAUUUGAAUUUUGUUACAUUUUGAUUGUUAAAUCUAAAAAUUAAAAAGAUGUGGUCCUUUUAACUUAGGUUAUCUUUUUUAACAUAUCAAACCCAUUUUAUGCUAAUAUAUAAGUUAUUUAUACUAACUAAGAUAUUUUUGCUUUAAUAUUUGUCUGAAAACGUGUUUGACAUUCACGGUGAACCCAUUACCAGAGUUAUAAAUUUUACCCAAAUCGGCAUUCCAACUAUCCAAGCUUGAAUUGAAGGUGUGGCUAAUUUCAGAGAAAUUCAUACAUCAAAAGUCAGUUGUGUAUAGGGUUUCAAACAAAAUAAUAUGAUUAUCAUAAGUCUAAAUGUGAAAUAUACCUUUUAUUACAAUUCUUCUGUGGUUGAGCUUAUUAAUGAGAAUGAGUUUGAAUUUUAAAAAAUUUCCAUUAGGACCAGCAUCCAAAUAAAUAAACAAACAGUGCACAUUAUUCCCAUUUGGAAUAAUAUGAAUCCUCCUAAAAACUUAAUGAGAAAAACAUAUGAAAUAAUAAAAAAAAGGAAAAUGUACAGUACACAAUAAUUUAAUCAAACACCAUUUGUGGCCAUCGAGAGAAAGCGUAUCCGAGUAAUUAUUGUAGAAGCCUAACGAGGAAAAGUUAGUAAUGGUGCACUUAGGAAGAUCAAACGAUUCUUCAUUUCAGUAGCACUGACAAAAACAAACAAUAUUGAUUUUCACCGAGGAAGAUCAAACGAUUGAGUAUCCAUGAGAAAUAAAGAUCUUCAAUGGUUGAAUAAAAUCACACUAUAAAAUAAGUAUUUUCCCAUAUCAAUAUAUCACAAUGCACAAGGAACUCUAAUAUCAAAAACUAAAUGUCACAGUAAGUUAAAUGUUUGUUUUUUUGAAAGAAAGACACAAUUUUAAUGGUAGAAAACCAUAUUUUGUUUCAGAAUAUGAAUUUAGAGAAAUAACUAAUUGGCAGCUUCAUAUGGGUAACAUGAACGAUGGAGCUAAAGAUAGCUAUAUAAAAUAGACAACUAUGGAUAUAAUAAAUACACAAAAUGAAUGACACAAAACCAGCACCUACGACAGCUAUAGGAACUUCAAUAAGAGAUUGUGAUAACAUGAGAGCCAUUGAUGGUUUUCAAAGCUAUAUAAGAACAUUUCCAGUGAAACUUACUCAUAGAUAAAAAUAUUAUUGGAAUCCUUAUUGAGAAAAGUUUUGGAAGUUGUUUUUACAUUAUUGAAUUCUGUUUUCCAAUGUACUGGAAAUUGAACCACACCAGGAUAACCGUAAACGUCACAAAUUUUAAUAACUCUACUUAAUGUAGUCUUUCAGAAAAGUUUAUUCAUUUUCUCCUAUGAAAUAUUGACAUCAUUUUUUUUUUGUUUGGUUUCAGAGUCUUUUAACCUACUCUUAUUUUUUAAAAUAAGUUUAGUCGUGUAUUAAGACAUAUAUAGAAUUUUUAACAAAAUAAAAUAAUAUUAUAAUUAAUGUAAGCAAUAAGAAUCAAUUAUCAUUAACCUUAUAUAUUAACUAUAAAAUUUCACAAUCUAAUAUUUUUUUAAUCAAUGAAAAGAUAUAAGACGAUGGUACAAGAUAAUAGUCAUGUUAUUUAUAAAAAAAUUAAAGUACAAAUAUUUAAGCAAAGGACUAAAAAAAUUAAAAUAUAUAUAUAUAUAUAUAUAUNAUAUAUAUAUAUAUAUAUAUAUAUAUAUAUAUAUAUAUAUAUAUAUAUAUAUAUAACAACUAUGUAUUUUUUAUAAUAUUGAAAAACAAUUUUAAAAGAAAUUACCUGUAACUAUCCUAUCAAAGUCGCUAAUGAUAUGAUAAGUUAAUUCAUAAGUAUACUUAUUGUUACAUUGUCGGUUGACGUUCUUAUUUAACAAGGUAUAGUAAAAUUGAUAUGGAGAAAAAGAUUUAGAGAGUCUCUCGAAUUAAAACGAGUUAAAUAUAUUUUUAAUUUUUUUACAUAAAUUUGAAAUUUGUUUUUAUUUAAAAUUUUGAUAUAUUUACUAGUACAUACAUGAGUCUAGGAUAUAAAUUUGGCUCUAUGAUAAAAAAAAAUAGGAUACAUACAUACAUGAGUAUAAGGUUACAUUAAUGUAAUAAUGAAAGAAUUUUGUUAAUUCAAAAAUAAAAUAGUAAUCAUACUUAAGAACUAAGUUGUGAAGUUUAAUUCCAACAUAUUUUUAUCUUAUUUAGCUUUUCAUCUUAACUUUGAUUUCUUGAUCAUUAUAAUAUUAAUCAAAAACCACUUUGAUUACAAAUUCAUAAUAACAUUAUAGUUUUUUAAUAAGAAUUGAUCAAAUCCUAUAGAUACAAUUUGGUACUAUAAUUGAACGAGUGCACACGCUCUGUUUGCUCAAACAACUUCAAACACGACUUAAUCAUAAAAUUUAAUCAAUUAAUUACAUUUGGAUUAAAAUUGGAUUAUACUAAUAUUUGAACAAAUUUUGUUGAGUUGCUGUUGACGUUGUAUAUUUAAGCUUGAUUAGCCAAACUUUGAAUUCGAACAAAGAAAUAACUAUAUUUCGAUGGGAUAUGAAUGAUUACCGGAUAAAGUUCUAACACUCAUAUAUAUCAAUCCUAGAAAAUAUCUCAUUUUCUCUUUCUUUUCAAAAUGUCUGUUAAUCUUUUUUUGUAUUUCUUUAUUCUUUAUAUAUGAAGAAUUAAUUAUUUAAAUUCGAUUCAUGAACUUGAUCACAAAUUAAGUGUCAAAAUAUUUGGACUGACUUUUUUUUUAUAAUAUUGAAAUUUUUUUCACAGAAGGUAAUGAAUAAUUUGCAUUUAGUUGCAUCAUGAUUCAUUCGUAUGGCGUAAUAUAAGUUUUCUUUGGAAUUCAGCUUCACACACGAAAUAUUACGGAACAUCACCAUUGAUAAUUUGGUUGAUGUACAUGUUUAUUUAAAUUAAUUUCCGAGUUGUGGAUUUUAGUGAUAAAAUAACUCUAUUGAAAUGAGAUAUGAAUGGACACUAAAUGAAGACCUUGGGAAUGACACUUUAAUAUUUAAUAUUUAAGUCAGUAAAAAUAUAUAUUAAAAUAGACCUGAAAAUAAUAAUAGAGGUAUGUAUAAGUUUUUAUACAUAGAGCCAAAUUUGAUAUACUAAGCAAAGGAUGUUGUGAACAUGUACUUUUUAUAACCGUGGAAAUUUUUUUCGUUCCAUAUCCUUAAAACCCACAAGCUCGUCAAAUGCAUUGAACGUUUUCUUAGGUAAAGGUUUAUCAGUAUGUUUCGUAGGUUUAUCCUUAAUCUACUUGAUUAUAUUUCAACUUAUCAUUUUAUAUAAAUCUAUUGUUAGGCUUAUAAAGAUAUGAAUUGUACAAAAUUCUAAACAAUUAUUUUAAAAUAAUAACUCAUUUAUAUUCAUUUGAUACAUAUAUUACUAUCGUAAAAAGGACAUUUUAAUAUUUAAGAAAAUAUAAAAAAAUAAAGAAAAAUAAUGUAAAAUAAAUGUAAAAAAAUUAUGUAUUAAAAUAUUAUUUUUCAUCUCUUUAGCAUGAUAAGUGUUUAUUUCCUUAAAAAAAAGAAACAUACCAAAACUCACUCAAUCACUACAUGGAGGAGAUUUUAUAUGCAUUUGGACCUGAAAUGAUAUCAUAUCACUAUAGAUCUUUUAUCUAUAAUUGCUUUGGUCUACCUCUACAAUUAAUGUAUAGUAAAAGUUUAAGUUAAUAUACUAUGCAUCAUUAAAUAAAUACAUAAAUGAAGCCUUAAAUAUCAAUUUCAUACUCUGGUUCUAUUAAGGAAGAUUAAUUACAUAGUAGCCUCUAUUCAACACAAUAAAUAUAAUAUACUCCAUGACAAAAUUAUCAUAGCAAAUCAGGUCAAACAUGUUCAACAUAAAAAAAAAAUCAUAUCGAUAAAUAGAAGAACAUCUAAAUGUUGAUAAACUUAUAAAAAGAAAACAUGUCCACUACAAUAAAUUAUUGGGCAAACAACAUAAUCAUGAAUUAUGUUUUACCAUACAUAUCUGAGUUGAGCAUCGAAAUCUCAUCCUUCAAAGCCUUCUUUUGCUUGAACUAAGUCUCUUCUUCUUAUUUCUAGAUUUACCUCUGCUUCAAUCAUCUUUGUCGUCAAAUUCUUUAUUUCUUUCUCUAAAAUAGAUACAUUCUCCUCCAUAGUAGCCACAUUCUCUUCCAAAAUUUUCACAACAAAAACUUUUUCAACACAUGUAUUGAUGCCCAAGACAGAUUGUACUUGAGGUUUCAGCCAUGACAAAUCAAAUUCACAUGUCUCCAAUUAGCAGAUUUAAUAUAACCAAAACAAACAAACCGCUAAUAAAAUUCAUUUGUUUUGUAGUGAGUUUACUAAAAAAUUUAAAUGUAAUUGUGCUAUUAAACUCCCCUAAUGACACGAUAAGUUAAUCCUUAGUUAUUAUUACAUCAUCGGUUGACUUUAUAAUCAAACACCUAUACUAAAAGUGGAAAUGAAUAUCACGAGAAAGAAUUGGAGAGAAAAGGUACAUACAUAAAGUGUAACCCCUAUAAUAUCAUUUUUUAUUGUGAUUUUAAAUUAAAUUUAAUAAUAUCAUACUUUUUAUUGUGAUUUCAAAUUUUUUAUAUAAAAUUAUAUUAUUAAUAGUUGGAAAUAAAAAGGUAAAUACAUAAAGUGUAACCCCUAUAGAAAUAUGAAUUGAAAUUAAAAGUUUAUUUCUGUUAAAUACAAACAUGAUAAUAUUAUUUUAAAAUCGAAAAUAAAAUAGAAAAACCCCAUAUCAUCUUAUUGUUUAUGAGGAUGGAUUUGAGAAAAAUAUAAAUGUUUGCUUCCAUAUAUUUCAACUGAUUUGAGAGAGAUUCUAAAAUUUCCAUCCCUUGUGAAUCAUGAAUGAAGUGAUUAAGAGAGAAAAGGUACAUGGACUUCUAAAUUUUUUAUCAUAACUUUUACAUAAAUAUCUCCGUUUCUUUUUUAACUUUACAUAUGCUUUUAAUUAUUAUUAUUAUUAUUAUUAUUAUUAAACUUUGUGGAUAAUUAAUAAUUAUUAUUUUUACAAUUGAUAAUUAUAAUAAUAAUAAUAAUAAUAUUAAUUUUAAUAUUAAAAUUAAUAAUUAUUAUUAUUACAAUAAUAAUAAUAAUUAGAUUUUAUUUUAUAUAAAUGUUAAUCAUAAAAGUAAUCUAAUAAUUAUAUCUACUGUAUAUUUUUUAUCCAUUACAUUAUCAAAUUAUUUACAAAUUCUAUUCUCAAAUUUCUUCACUUUGAAAUUUCUAUCCAUAAAAACAAAAAAUUCCAUUUUUUCAUCUUUAUCUUUUAAAAAUUCUCAAAUUUCUUUCAAAUUCAUUCUCCAAAACAAAAAGAAACUCAUUCUUCAAAAUAAAAAGAAAAACGUACUGACCUACCUCUACAAGCAUUUGCUUUGCACACCAAUAAACAUAAUUAUGUCGCUAACGGAUAUAUCUCUAUAAUUAGUUUUGUCGACCUCUAUGUUCUCUUUAUAUUAUGAUAAUUUUUUCUUCCCUGUUAAAAAUCGGAAUGAUCAGAAAGUUGGAGAAGAUUUUUCCCAAAAGAAAAAAUUUUUAUAAUAUUACAUUUUUUACAGUAAUUUUCAAUUAUUAUGUGACCUAAAUUAUCAAAAUCAAAUAUCAUGCAACACAUUCACUUUCAAAAAAAUAUCUUUUCUUUUAAUUUAGUUUUACUAAAUUAUAAUAAAGACUAUAACCAACGUCUUUAAUAUCAUUAAUCUUCCUCUAUUUUUUUUUUCCUCUUUUUCUUCAACGUUUCAAGAUGAGAAUCAUAUUUUCAAAUCCACAUUUUAUACUACUACAACUUAACGAAAUACAAUAAAAUAAAAUAUAAACAAAAGGUAUGCAUGACUUUCCACUUUAGAAAUUAAUUUUAAGUCUAAAAAAGAAAUAAAGGUGAUUCAAAAGGCAUACCGAAAACUUGACAUAAAAAAAAGGUAGUUGAAAUGAAUAAUCAUCGUUUCAACACGUGUGUAAUUCAUCAUUAUAUUUAAGUUUUAAAAACUCCUAUAAUUAUUAUAAGAUUUGGGUUUUAAACCUGAACUUAACUUCUCCAAAUUGAUUUAAAAGUAUUUUAAAAAAAAUAUUCUUUUGUUAAGAUAAUACAAAGUUCUGAGAUUUUUUCUUAGAAUUUAUGAAUUCAAAGAGCCCUUUGUCUUAAUGAUUUUGCUUCUGACACCAAUAUUUAGUAAUAUCAAUUACGAUAAAUUUCAUAAAUAUUGUAAUGGAAUGACAUUCAAUUAACAUAAUAAAAUAUGUGUUUAUAUAUGGACAAUUAAUAGAAGUUUUGACAGAAUAUCACUCAUGUUAACUGAGAUUAGUAUGAAAGUAACAAUAUAGGAUGCAUCAUAAAAUAAACACAUAAAAGAACCCUUAAAUAUCAAUUUGAUUCUCUAAUUCUGUUUAAUGGAAGAUUAAACACAUAAUAGGUAUGAUUAUACUAGAAAACUUAUUUCACCAGGUACCUUUUUGUUAUUUCAACAUGUAAUUGUUUUAUUAAACUCCCUAAUGACAUGAUAAAUUAAUCCAUUGUUAUUAUUACAUCAGCGUUUGACUUUAUAAUUAACACCUAUACUUAAAGUGGCAAUAGGAAAAACAUUUAGAGUCUUCCAAAAUAAAAUUAAGAUUAACGCUAAAAUCACGAAUAAAACAGAAUUUGUGAGAAAAGAGAUAAUCAACCUAAUUUGAAAUUUGGAAACUUCGUGCUUUUCCUCUUAAUUUGUGGGACAGUAAAAGUUCAAUUUCAUGAACAACACAAGAAAUAUACUAUGCACAAUAAAACAAACCCUUAAAUAAUAUAAAUUUCAAAAUCUCUUUCUGUUUAAUGAAGAUUAGAAAUAGUAGCAGCUAUUUUUACUCAAUGAAUAUAAUUAUACUUGAGAAUAAAGUUAUCAUAUGCAACUCAUGGUUGUCAAUAACCGAGUUCAAUAUUUACUCAUUAACAUAUUCAAUUGAUGGUUUUCCAUAACCCAGUUUUGCAUCUAAAUCACAGUUUUCAAAGUCUUCUUUUGCUUUCACCACGUCUCUUCUUGUUAUUUCAAGAUUUACCUCUGCUUCAAUCAACUCCGUUCUCAGAGUCUUUGUUUUCUCUUCUAAAGAAGUUACCUUCUCUUCCAACCUUUUCACUUCAAGAACUCUCUCAAUACGAGUUUUCAUGCCUAAGGCAGAUUGAACAUGAGGUUUCAACCAUGACAAAUCAAAUCCAAAGGUCUCAAGUUCCUCCCAUAAAGUUUGGAGAUGAUUGCAAGCAUCAUCGUCCAUGUCUCUCACCUUUUUAGUGUUGAGAAAAUAAAGAACUCUACCCAAAGCUGUUAAAGCCCAUUCAAUAAAUAUUUGACUUCUCCGCUUCUUGUUAUUCAGAAGUGAGGGAUAUCGUGAACAAACAUCUUCUAACAGAGGAAUAAAAUCUUUUUCUACUUUUCCUAUGCUCCUAAAAUCCACCGCCUCACCAGAUGAUGAGGUUGAAAUCAUUUCCAUGGAGGAACGAUUCUCAAUGCUUUCAACAAGCUUAUUGUCAAUGUUCCUAUCUGAUACAUCAACUUCUUUCUCAUGCUCUAACAUAUGAACCAAUAUGUGAGCUUCAAUUAUACAAGUAUCAUUUAGAAUGAACCCGCGACUAGAGUCCCAAAAUUCACCCAAAGGUAUGUAAGAAGUGAAUCCCCAGUCACCCUCCUUUGAAUUGAAUUUAUGGCUACUUUCUGACAAAUUCAUACAUCAAAAGUCAGUUGGAUAUCAAGUUUAAAACAAAUUCAUACGAUACUCAAAUAAAUAUAUUGAUAAAAUAUUACAAAGUUUUAUUUGUUUAUGAUGUCUACUUCUUAAGUAAAAUGGUUUCCACUUACAAAUUUCUAACAAACAAUUUGGGAUAAAGUACAUGCGACAAGCAACUAAAGGUUGGAUUUUGAAGUAUAUUAAGGAAAACUUAAGGAUAGAAAAAAGUAAAUGAGAAAAACACAUUGGAAGCUAAAUGAUUCGAUUCUUCCAGGAAAUUAAAAAUCCAAAUGAGAGUCGUGUGAAAUUAUGAAAUUACUGGAAGAACAUUUUCAUUCACCUAAGAAAAUAACAUCCAAAUAUCAAAAUGAGAGAUAAGGGUGAAAUAUACCUCUUAUUAUAUUUCUUUCGUGAUUGAGCUGAUUAAUCAGAAUGAGUUUGAAAGUUGCAUGUUUUUCCCAUCCAUGAGGCAUAGUAUCAACACCAGCAUCCAAAUAUAUUGACAAAAAGUUCACAUUAUUCCCUUUUGGAAAGAUAAGAAGCCUCCUAAAAGGAAAGUUACCAAACUUAAAUGAGAAAAAAAAAAAGGAUGAAAUCGUAUUUACAGUACGCAGUAAUUUAAUCAAGCACCAUGUGUGGCCAUCCAGAGAAAACUUAUCCGAGUACAAUUUCUUGGAGUUUAACAUGGAGAGUUUUGUAAGGGUCCAUGUAAACUUCUGAAACAUCUUAUCCUUUGUAUUCUGAUUCUCCAUUUCAGUAACUUUCGAUCUUCAACCGUCGCUCUGACAAAAACAAAUAAUAUUGAUUUUCAGUUAGGAAGAUCAAAUGAUUCAGUAUCCAUGAGAAACACACAUCAGAUUUCACGAAGAACUUUUGAGAAAAAUUUUGAAAGUUGUUUUUUCAUUAUUGUGUAAUGUAAAUUUUGAGGAUAAUGUAAAAGUCACAAAUUUUAAUUUGUCUAUUUAAUGUAGUCUUUAUGAAAAGUUUAUUCAUUUUCUUGGAUGAAAUAUUAAUAUCACUUUUUUUAACCUAUUUUUAUUUUUUAAAAUAAGUUUAGUCGUGUAUUAAGAUAUAUUCAAUUUUAUAACAAAUAUAAAAAUGAUAAUAUGUAGAUACUAAGAGCAACUUGUCAUUUUAUUGUAACCAUAAUUUCACAAUCUCAUAUUUUUUAAUUAAUGAAAAAAAAUAAGACGAUGGAACAAGAUAAUAGCCAUUCAUGAAAAAAAAAAUUAAAGUACAAAUAUCGAAUUAAAAGACUCGAAACUUAAUUAAAAAAUAUAAAUAUAACACAUGUAAUAAUAAAAGAUAAAGGAUAGUGUAUGAUAAUAAAAUAUUCAUAUAUAUUAUUAAUAUAUGAAUAUUUGAAUCAAUAAAUAUAUUUUAGAUAAGUGAAAGUAUCUUAGAAUAUCUUACAACUACUUUGUGUUAGUAAAAUGGAAUGAACCUCGUUAGAGUGUAUUAUUACAAUAUUUGAUGGGUUAAGUAUAUACAAUAUUUUUUCUAAUUUAUUGAUUUGUAUAUUUAUUUAUAAUAAAUUGCUUUAAUAGAAAUUUAAAACUUUUUAUAAACUAAUGUGAAUAUAGAUUUAAAAAAGGUAUUUAAUUUAAUAUUUAUAAAUGAAUUGGAAAUAUAAUAUUUGAAGAGCCAUUAUAAUAAAUAAGAUUUAUUUGAAGAACGUCUAAUUUGGAUAGAAAUAUUUUGUUUGAACUCAAAUACUAGUAUUGUACGUCAUGUAUCAUAUAAGAAUGUUAAUUUGUAUAGAUUUAUAGAAUAAUUAUGUAACUAUGCUAUCAAAGUCCCUAAUGACAUUAAAAGUGCUAAGAAAAAGGUUUGGAGAGUCUCUCAUAUUAAAAUGGAUUAAAAAUGUUUAUAAUCUUUAAACUGUAAAAUUAAAUUUUGAGCCUAACACCACUUUAACUCUUCAAGGCUGGAAAAAAUGUAUGACAAACAUAUCUUAAUCGAUUGUAUUUUCACUUAUGUAAAUAAGUUAUAUGAAGCACGUGAUAAUAUAAAGACAAAUGUUAAUAAAUACAUUAAGUAAAUGAUAGUUUUGUGGAAAUAUUUUAAUUUUAUGUGAAAUAUGAGAAGAUGUUUCUUGUGUAGUUUAAGAAUUAAAGUAAUAACAAUUUGAAUAUAUACUUAUUUGAAGUCUUUUAAAAUGUAACAGAAAUUACAAUAUCUUCUAAGAGACAAUGAGACUCUCAACUACCAAAAACAAUCCAUAAAUCAUGCUCACAACAUUAUUGUAGUGUGUUAUAACAAUUUUCAUUUAUUAUNUACACUAAAAAUGUCCAUAAUUAUAGAUUUUUUUUUUCUCGAUCAAGAUCACUUUCGAACAUAGAAGUCAAAUUUUCAUCAUGAUUUUUUGUUUUUUAAUUUUGCAAGUUUUUUUUAAGAAUUGAACUUUUAGCAGCAGUUUUGUUCUUACUAGAAUCCAGAAGAUGAACUUUCAAACAAGUGUCAAAAUUUGAAUGGAUUAGAGAAUUAUGUGUGUUAUAUUGAGGUUGGAAUAUAGAAAAAUAUUUAAAAAAUUCUCUAACGCUCAAGUAAAUAAGAAAAUUUAUAUUGAAUGAAAGAAAAUGAGUAUGAAAAAGUGUAUUUCUUGAUGAAAUAUCAUGCAUAUUUGGAGGGUAUAUGAGUCCUACGACUUAUGUGAUAAAUAGACAAUAUUGAAAUGAUAAGUAAUAUCAAAAAAUAACAUCUUACCGGAUAUAUGAUAGUUAGAAUAAUAAUAAGAAUAAUAUUUGUGUGUGUAUGGUUGAGAGAAGAACCGCCUUGAGAAGAAAUAAAAGUUUGGUGUAUUGUGAGUCAAUAAAAAAGAGUACCCAUGAUAAAGAGACAACCAUAAGGGUUGUGUUGGUUGUUUUAAGAGUUUGUAAGAGUGUAAUGUUGUUGAGUUUGAGAGUUAAGGUUGUUAACUUUGUAUAUUUUGGAUUUUUCAGAAAAGUUGUCACUUUCUUACUAUAUUUAAAAAGAAAUAUCUAAUACGAGAAUUUUUCGCCACGCACUUACUAAUCAAUCAUCCCAAAAUUCACUUUUUCUGUAAUUUUGUUUGAUUGAUCUCAAAAUAUCAUAUUACAUUUAAAUCACAAAACAAUAUUACAAAACUGUCUAACUCUCAAUUAAGGGAGUUUAAAUUGAGUAAAAGAAAAUGAGUAUGAAAAAAUGUAGAUGCAGCCCGCCCCAUGUAGCCAUCUGUCCACCAAUAGUCAUCUCCCCCAACAAUUGCCUCUAUAAAAAGAAGAAGAUGAUGAUAAUUCUAAUGAUUAUAAUUUAGGAACUUUUUAAAAUAUUUAUGUAUUGCUUUUUAUUUUCAAACUUAGUUCUUUUAUCUGAUGCUUUAAUAACCAUCAUAUAAUAAUUAUUUAUUUCAAUUAUAUGGAUCUUGAAUGAUUGCAUCUGGUGAAUUGUUCAAUUGAAAAUUAAGUACAUUAAUUGCUUAUUUACUUAUUCAUUGUUAUAGGUAAGCCAUAUUACCAAACUACACUAGAAACUAGGUUGAUCAUUACCGACAACCUUAUCAACGGAUUCAUCCAUUGAUAAUGCAAAACAUAUUUAUUACAUUACCGACGAAUCAUUGCCGUUAGUAAUUACCAACAACCCCAAGUUGUUGAUAAUGUCAUCAUGUUUCACAUUUCAUUACCGACGACCUGUAGUCCUCAGUAAUUUUCGACAAUCAAGAUUUGUUAAUAAUUAUCGAGGGUCAUAGGUUGUUUGUAAUUACUGACAGAUUCUGUCAACAAUAAUUACCAAGGAUCAAGUCGUCAGUAAUUAUCAACAGUCAGUAUCUAUCGAUAAUGUAUUUUGACAAAGUAUUUACUAACGGAUAAUUAGUCAUUAGAAAUCCAUCAAUAAACAUGUAUUACCAACAAAUUUUAAUGUUAUUGAUAGAUUUUGUCGGUUGGUAAUUCCUGUUUUUUUUGUAGUUAUUUGAUCAUUAUUUUUGGUCUCAUGUUAUCAUAUAAGAACUUUAGUUCAUUACAACAAUACUAGUUGUUCUAUGAUUAAUCAUGUCAUCAAAAUGUUUUAAAAAAUAACUACAUAUUUUUUUAUAAAAGAGCGAAACAGUUUACUAAAAAAAUUACAUGUAACUAUGCUAUCAAACUCGCUAAUGACAUAAAUUAAUUCAUAACUAUAGUUAUUAUUACAUUAUCAACGUAUGCUAAAAGUGACAAUGAGAAAAAGGAUUAGAGAUUCUCUCAAAUUAAAAUUAAGACUAAGGGUUUAAUCACAAAUAAAAUAAUUAGAGAGCUAAACAUACUAUUGUUAAAAUUUUGAGUCUGAUCCACACUAAGAACUUGACUUACAUAGAUUGAACUUACAGUGGAUUGGUUCAUCAAUCUACACUCUUUUUUAUUUUAUUAUAAAUGAGAAUAAAGAAGAAAAUGCAUCAAGAAAAAUAUUACGGAUUUAUCCAUUAAGACUUUAAUAGUAUAGAUUUAUAAGGGUUACAAAAAUUAUUAAUGUUAGAUACUUAUUAAUUUUGUUUUUUAUACAUGAUUUUUAGAUUGUAUUUGGAGUUUGAGAUUAAUUUGAAUUGUAUUAUAUUUUUUAUUUUGAAUUGUCUAAAAAAUUUAACAUCUUUUCGAUUUAAGAUUAUAAUUUAAUUUAUAUUUGACAUUAUUGAAAAGAGAAUAUGUAUUAAUAUUUAACAGAUAUCAUGUAUUUUUGUUGUGAUUUAAUUUUCUGAAAACAAAUUAUAUAAAUAAUAUUCGAACAAUAAAGAGACAUAUACGACAUAAGUACAUAUAUUGAAACAAAAAUUUCAUUCUAAAAAAAAAAUUAUUUAAAAAAUAAAGAUAAAAUAGUUAAAAUCAUAGUCGUCCCACCUUGUUAUCAACCCACAUGUACACAUGUUAAAAUCCUCAUUUCACCAAUGAAUAUUAUAUUUGUUUGUCAAAUUAACUCAUUUAAUAAAUUUUGAUCCUAACCCACACGAAUUAGGAUAAUUUUUUUUAUAAAACUAAAAUAAAAAAUUAUUAAAAAAAUCAUAGCUAAAUAUUUACAAAAUCUUAUGAAUGAAAACCAAUUCAUAAAUAUUUUUCUAACCUGUUAACUCUUUUAUUCUUAAAUAAACAAAUAUAAAAUAUAAACUGGAUGACUUUCCACUUCAUAAAUUAAAUUUAAAUCUAAAAAAUAGAAAAGUGACGCAAAAGGCAUACUGAAACAUUUGAAAUAAGAAAGGUAGAUUUACAUAAAAAUUAAAAUGAAUAGUCAGCGUUUCAAAACCUGUGUAAUUAUAUUUAAGUUUUGAAAACUCCUAUAAUUAUUAUAAGAUUUGGGUUUUAAACCUGAACUUUAAACUUCUCCAAAAAUUGAUUAAAAGGCAAAAGUAUUUUAAAUUUGUUUAUUCUUUUGCUAACCUAAUACAAAGAAUUUUUUUUUAGAAUUUAUGAAUUGAAAGUGCCUUUGUCUUAAUCACUUUGCUUCUCGCACUACAACUUACUAAUAUCAUUUUCGACAUAUUUGGUAAUUUGUUAUGAAACCAUAUUCAAGUAACAUAAUAAAAUAAGUGUUUAUAUAUGGACAAUUACUAGAAGUUUUGACAACAUAUCACUCAUGUUAACUGAGAUUAGUGGGACAGAAACAGUUCAAUUUCAUGAACAAAAGAAAUAUACGAUGCAUCAUAAAAUAAACACAAAAAACAACCCUUAAAUAUCAAUUUCAUACUGUGUUUCUUCUUAAUGAAGAUUAAACAAACAAAUAAAUAUAAUUAUACUAGAGAAUAAAGUUAUCAUAUGCAAUUCAUGGUUUUCCAUAUCCUAGUUCAGCAUUCAAAUCACAGUUUUCAAUGCUCUUUUUUGCUUUCACCAAUGUUCUUCUGUUUAUUUCUAGAUUUACCUCUGCUUUAAUCCUCUUUGUUCUCAAAGUCUUUUCUUUCUUCUCUAAAAUAAAGAUAUUCUCCUCCAAAGUUCACUUUCUCUUCCAACCUUUUUAUCGCAAGAACUUUAUCAAGAGAAGUUUUCAUGCCUAAUGCAGAUUGUACAUGAGGUUUCAACCAUGAUAAAUCAAAUUCAAAAGUUUCAAGUUCCUCCCAUAAAGUUUGGAGAUGAUUACAAGCGUUAUAGUCCAUGUUUCUCACCUUUUUAGUGUUUAGAAAAGGUUUAAUCAUUUCUGAUGUCCUUGUUUAUGUAGAGUUGUCUCAAAUAGAGGUCUUCGUAUUUUAAUUAGUCUCAAUUAGGUCCCUAUUUUUAUAAAUUUAACUCAAUUAAAACCUUGUCGUUAAUUAAAAUGAACUGCGUUAAAAUUUGUGUGUCUUGACUUACUGAUUGUGCAAUUUUUAAUGACGUGACUAUCAAUUAUAAUAAUUAGUUUUAAAUUGGAAUAAUUAGCCUUUAUUAGCUAAUUCUUGUAUAUUUACUUUCCCUUUAUUUAAUUUAAAUUAGUGUUAAAUAUCAAUUAUUAUAAUUGAUAUUAUAAUAAUUGAUAUUAAAUUGGUGGAGUUUAUUUUCUUUUAACUCUUUCCAAUUAGGUUAUCAAUUUGUAUAUUUAUACUAUUGUAAUGAUCAAAUAAGAAAUUCAUCAAAAAUACUUUUCUAUAGUGACACUGUGGUUUGCUGACUGGAUGGCAUAAAAAAGGAUACGACGUCGUUUCCUCUUUCUUCAUCGUUCAAAACAUUUUCCAUUCUUUAAGAUAUCAGAAAAUGGAUCUUUAUCUUCUUUGUUUCGAUUCCAACUUUCCAAAUAUAAAACCCACAGAGCUGAAACCCGUUUUUCGUUUUUGAACAAUUCAAAGUCAUAAUACUCCAAAAAUGUUAUCCCCACUAACCUAUCUUGUGAUUGUCGACGAGAAGACUAUGGACCAUGAUUGACUCCACCUCUACCUCGCACUCCUCUUCUAAGAUAAAGGCCUUUGUCGCUUCCGAACUCCCACAACACUAUAAGAAAUAACAAGAAAAGAAAAAAAAUAAAAGAACUUUAAAAAUUGGGAGCAUUAAAUUUAACAAAUCCAACGAAAACAAAAAUGGUGAUGCUCUUUGGCAAAAAGAGGCUAGAUCCAAGAAUUAAUUAUAAAAGAGCAUUAAAACCCACUAGCACAACAAAUGUAGUGAACGUGUCCUUAGGUAAAGGUUUAUCAACAUGUUUCGUAGGUUUAUCCUUAAUCUUGUGUGUUUGAUCUACUUGAUUAUAUUUCAACUUAUCAAUCUAUUUAAAUCUAUUGUUAGGCUUAUAAAGUUCAUAUAAAGAUAUGAAUUGUACAAAAUUCUAAACAAUUAUUUUAAAAUAAUAAUAAAUAUUUAUAUUCAUUUGAUACAUAUUACGAUUAUAAAAAAAGUAUACUUUUAUAUUUAAAAGAAUAAAAGAAAAAUAAUAUAAAACGAAUGUAAAAAAAUUAUAUGUAUUAAAAUAUUAUUUUUCAUCUCUUUAAUAUGAUAAGUGUUUGUUUCCUGAAAAAAGAAACAUACUAAAACACACUCAAUCACUACAAGAAAGAGAUUUUAUAUGCAUUUGGGCCUGAAAUGCUAUCAAUAUCACUAACAGAUCUUUUAUCUAUAAUUAAUUUGGUCUACCUCUACUAUUAAUGUAUAGUAAAAGUUCAAGUUAAUAUACUAUGCAUUAUUAAAUAAAUACAAAUACAUUGAUUCUAUUAAGGAAGAUUAAUCACAUAGUAGCAUCUAUUCAACACAAUAGAUAUAAUAUACUCCAUAACAAAAUUAUCAUAGCAAAUCAGGUCAAACAUGUCCAACAUAAAAAAUCAUAUCGAUGAUUAGAAGAACAUCUAAAUGUUGAUAAACUUAAAAAGAAAACAUGUCCACUACAAUAAAUUAUUGGGCAAACAACUUAAUCAUGAAUUAUUGUUUACCAUAUGUGAGUUGAGCAUCCAAAUCAUAUUCUUCAAAGCCUACUUUUGUUUGAACCAUGUCUCUUCUUGUUAUUUCUAAAUUUACCUUUGCUUCAAUCAUCUUUGUCGUCAAAUUCUUUAUUUCUUUCUCUAAAACAGCCACAUCAUUCUCCAAAGUAAUAACAUUCUCCUCCAAUCUUUUCAUAGUAAGAACUUUCUCAACACAAGUUUUCAUAUCCAAUGCAGAUUGUACAUGAGGUUUCAGCCAUGACAAAUCAAAUCCAUNUAUCAACAUGUUUCGUAGGUUUAUCCUUAAUCUUGUGUGUUUGAUCUACUUGAUUAUAUUUCAACUUAUCAAUCUAUUUAAAUCUAUUGUUAGGCUUAUAAAGUUCAUAUAAAGAUAUGAAUUGUACAAAAUUCUAAACAAUUAUUUUAAAAUAAUAAUAAAUAUUUAUAUUCAUUUCAUACAUAUAUAACUUUCAUAAAGGAAACUUAUAUAUUUAAAAAAAUAAAAUAAAAAAUAAAGAAAAGAAAUGUAAAAUGAAUGUAAAAAAAUUAUAUGUAUUAAAAUAUUUCCUAAAAAAAGAAACAUACCAAAACUCACUCAAUCACUACAUGGAGGAGAUUUUAUAUGCAUUUGGGCCUGAAAUGCUAUCAAUAUCAUUAACAGAUCUUUUAUCUAUAAUUACUUUGGACUACCUCUAGAAUUAAUGUAUAGUAAAAGUUCAAGUUAAUAUACUAUGCAUCAUUAAAUAAAUACAUAAAUGAACCAUUAAAUAUCAAUUUCAUACUCUGGUUAUAUUAUGGAAGAUUAAUCACAAAGUAGCAUGUAUUCAACACAAUAAAUAUAAUAUACUCAAUAACAAAAUUAUCAUAGCAAUUCAGGUCGAACAUGUUCAACAUAAAAAAAUCAUAUCGAUGAUUAGAAGAACAUCUAAAUGUUGAUAAACUUAACAAGAAAACAUGUCCACUACAAUAAAUUAAUCGGCAAAAACCUUAAUCAUGAAUUAUGGUUUACCAUAUAUGAGUUGAGCAUCCGAGUCAUAUUCUUCAAAGACUUCUUUUGCUUGAACCAAGUCUCUUCUUGUUAUUUCUAUAUUUACCUUUGCUUCAAUCAUCUUCAUCGUCAAAUUCUUUAUUUCUUUCUCUAAAACAUCCACAUCAUUCUCUAAAGUACUUUGGACUACCUCUACAGUUAAUGUAUAGUAAAAGUUCAAGUUAGUAUACUAUAAAUCAUUAAAUAAAUACAUAAAUAUACCCUUAGAUAUCAAUUUCAUACUCUGGUUCUAUUAAGGAAGAUUAAUCACAUAGUAGCCUCUAUUCAACACACUAAAUAUAAUAUACUCCAUAACAAAAUUAUCAUAGCAAAUCAAGUCAAACAUCAUAAAAAAAUCAUAUCGAUGAUUAGAAGAACAUUUAAAUGUUGAUAAACUUAAGAAGAAAACAUGUCCACUACAAUCACGGGUGAGCAAAUCGUACUGUACUGCACUGCUAAAAACUGAACUGUAAAACAGUUCAGACAAACUGAACUGUAAAAUAGUUCAGACAAACUGAACUGAACUAUAUUUUGUUUUAUCAAACUGAACCGUACUGAGUUGUAUUGUACUGCAGUAUGAACUGAACUAUUAACUGAACUGUAAACUGAACUAAACUAUUAACUGAAUUGUAAAUUACACUAACUGAACUUAACUAAAUUGUAAACUACACUAAUUUUAACUAAACUACAAUAUAAAUUGAACUGAACUAGUAACUAUACUAAUUUUAAAUUGAAUUGUACUAAUUUUUAAACUAAAUAGUAUAACAAUACAUNUUCUUUUUAAUUGAAAUUUAUUUUAAUAUUUAUUUUAUUUUAUUCAUAAAUGUCUAAUAAAUUAAUUUUUAAUUAUUUAAUAUUAUUAUUUUCUAUUUUAUUUAUAUUUCUUUUAUUAUUAAAAUUUAUUUUAUUAUUAAUUUAUUUUAUUAAUAAAAAAAUAUAAAUAUAUAUAUAUAUAUAUAUAUAUAUAUAUAUAUAUAUAUAUAUAUAUAUUUAUAUAUAUAUAUAUAUAUAUAUAUAUAACUUAAAAAAUAUAAAAAUAUAAAUUACAUUUUUUAUUUUUAUUGAUAAAAAUAUAAAUUUUGUGAUAAAAAAGUUGUUUUAAAAAAUUAAUUAUUUUUUUUUAUGUGAACAGUUAUUUUAAUUAAUAUUUUAUUAUUAAAUAAAGUUUUUUUGACAAGAUGAAACAAUUGAACUGAAAUUAGAGAAGAGUUCUCACAGUUAAAUGCAGUACAGUACAAAUCAGUUAUUUUUACCCAGUCCUAACUACAAUUAAUUAUUCGGCAAAAACCUUAAUCAUGAAUUAUGGUUUAUCAUAUAUGAGUUGAGCAUCCAAAUCACAUUCUUCCAAGCCUUCUUUUUCUUGAACCAAGUCUCUUCUUGUUAUUUCUAGAUUUAACUUUGCUUCAAUCAUCUUUUUCGUCAAAUUCUUUAUUUCUUUCUCUAAAACAGCCACAUCAUUCUCCAAAGUAGUCACAUUCUCCUCGAAUCUUUUGAUAAUAAGAACUUUCUCAACACAAGUUUUCAUAUCCAACGCAGAUUGUACAUGAGGUUUCAGCCAUGACAAAUCAAAUCCAAAUAUUUCUAAUUCCUCCCAUAAAGUUUGGAGAUAAUUGUAAGCAUCAUCGUCCAUAUUUCUCCCUUUUUUAAUGUUGACAAAAUAAAGAACUCUACCAAGUGCUGUAAAAGCCCAUUCAUUAAUUUUUUUACUAUUCUUCUUCUUGCUAUCAAGAAGUGAAGGAUAUCGUGAACAAACUUCUUUCAACAGAGGAAUAAAAUCCACGAUCUCAUCAGUUGAGUUUGAGAUCAUUUUCUUGGUUGAAAAAUUCUCCUCCUUGUUUUGGACAAGCUUAUUAUCAAUGCUCCUCAAUGAUUCACCUUGUUUCUCAUGAUCUGACUUAUGAACCGAUAUAUGAAGUUCAACUAUACAAAUAUCAUUCACGAUGAACCCAUCAGUAGAGGUGUAAAUUAUACACGAAUGGUCAUUCCUUGAAGGUGUGACUAAUUCCUGACAAAUUCAUACACCAAGAAGAGUGAGUUGUGUAUCGAGUUUAAAACAAAAUAAUAUGAUUAUCAUAAGUCUAAUUGUGAAAUUUACCUUCUAUUAUAUUCCUAGUGGGGUUUAGCUGAUUAAUCAGAAUGAAUUUUAAAUUUGCAAAUUUUUCACAUCGACGAGGCCAACCACUAACAGAAUCCAAAAUAAUUGCCAAAUACAACUUCUCUGUUGCAGCUCGAAUGAUACGAAUCGCCCUAAAGACAAAGAAACCAAAUUAAUGAGAAAACAGAUAAAAUCAUAAGAAAGAGCAACAUGUAGAUUAUGUAUAAUAAUUCAAUCAAGAACCAUGUAUGGCCAUCGACAAUAAACGUUUUCAAAUAUUCUUUGUGGCAAACGUUUGACGAGAAGUUUGUAAGGGUCCAGGUAAACUUCUGAAACACUUUAUACUUUGUAUUCUGAUUCUCCAUUGCAGAAACUUGUAAGCUUCAACCGUAGCACUGACAAAAGCAAACAAUAUUGGUUUUCACUUAAGAAGAUCAAACGAUUGGGUAUCUAUGGGAAACGAACAUCUACGAUGGUUGAGUUCACAAAGAACUUCCAUAAUAUCACACUUACAAAAUUUUUAUAAACUUUUCAGAUGUGUUUUGAAAGUUGAUGUACAUUUAUACAUAUGAAAAUUUAAGUAAUAUUGGAUUACGUAUUAAAAAAUGAUUGGAAGUUGUUUUUACAUUAUUUAAUUCUGUUUUCCAAUAUGCUGGAAAUUAAACCACAACAAGAUAACUGUAAAAGUCACAGAUUUUAAUAACUCUACUCAAUGUAGUCUUCCAGAAAAGUUUAUUCAUUUUAUUGGAUGAAAUAUUAAAAUCACACUUUUUUAACCUAUUCUUAUUUUUGAAAAUAAGUGUAGUCGUGUAUUAAGAUAUACUGUAAUAAGAUAGAAUUUUGUAACAAAAAUAAUAUAAUAUUAUAAUUAAGGUAAACAAUUAGAAUCAAUUAUCAUUGUACUGUAACCUUAUAUAUUAACUAUAAAAUUUCAUGAUCUCAUAUUUUUUAAUCAAUGAAAAGAAAUAAGAUUAUGGUAAAAGAUAAUAGUCAUGUUAUUUAUAAAAAAAUUAAAGUACAAAUAUUUAAUUNNNNNNNNNNNNNNNNNNNNNNNNNNNNNNNNNNNNNNNNNNNNNNNNNNNNNNNNNNNNNNNNNNNNNNNNNNNNNNNNNNNNNNNNNNNNNNNNNNNNNNNNNNNNNNNNNNNNNNNNNNNNNNNNNNNNNNNNNNNNNNNNNNNNNNNNNNNNNNNNNNNNNNNNNNNNNNNNNNNNNNNNNNNNNNNNNNNNNNNNNNNNNNNNNNNNNNNNNNNNNNNNNNNNNNNNNNNNNNNNNNNNNNNNNNNNNNNNNNNNNNNNNNNNNNNNNNNNNNNNNNNNNNNNNNNNNNNNNNNNNNNNNNNNNNNNNNNNNNNNNNNNNNNNNNNNNNNNNNNNNNNNNNNNNNNNNNNNNNNNNNNNNNNNNNNNNNNNNNNNNNNNNNNNNNNNNNNNNNNNNNNNNNNNNNNNNNNNNNNNNNNNNNNNNNNNNNNNNNNNNNNNNNNNNNNNNNNNNNNNNNNNNNNNNNNNNNNNNNNNNNNNNNNNNNNNNNNNNNNNACCUUGGCCACUGAUGAUGGAAGAACCCCAGAUGCUCUCUCCACGUACAAGCAAUCGUUACCAGAUGUCUAACAAAAUGUUUGAACAACUAAGAAUACAUUUCAAAAAUGUUUGGACAACACAGGAAAAACAUUAGUACCUUAGGGUUACAGAUUUGCUUCUUUUUUCUAGCUAAAGAUAAGUGUUCUCAAAAUCUUCGUAGGUGGUGGUAGAACCUCGGCGACGCAGAGUGCGGCAAAGCCUUCGAUAGCGGCGAGACUUCGACAGCAGCGAGCCUUCGACGACGGUGAACCUUCGACAGCAGAGAACCUUCAACAGUGGUAGCCUCGGCAGCAGUUUUAAACAGCGGUAACCUUCAACAACAGCAGCGAGUGAGUGGGAUGAAUGGGAUGUAAGGCAGAAAGCAAAUGAAGCUGUGAUUGGGAAAGCAGAUAUAAACCUAAACUUUGGUUAAAGACGCAGCACACUCCUAGGGUUCCACCAGCUCACCACCGAACGCCGACAGGGAAGCACACUGCUCAGACGAUGGAAGGUUAAAGACGCAGCACAGACAGAACAGAAACACACAGAAUAAUACUUCUCAGAUUUUCAUUAGCUUUCAAAAUAUGUUUUACA